Long non-coding RNA from Lagopus leucura (white-tailed ptarmigan), 1633 nucleotides. RefSeq lists it as uncharacterized. The transcript is spliced from 2 exons. The record is from RefSeq and is a predicted model, not a curated record. NCBI's taxonomy places the organism in Eukaryota, Metazoa, Chordata, Aves, Galliformes, Phasianidae.
UUGCCUUCACCUGUGCUCCUCUGGCUGACUCAUGGCUCGCCUCAGGUGAUCAAUCAGAGGUUCAGGCCGUGACUUCAGCAGUUCCCAAAGGCUAAAAAAUGGUACUGACCUGAAACAUUAGGCUUGCCCUUCUCAGGAGAGUAACACGAAAGCAUCCACUGUCCAGAAGAUUCCCAGGCUGCUAUGCGUUCCGCUGUCCAGUCAGUAGAAAACAGAACGUGACAGCAAAAGAAGAAAUUACACAGUCAGAAGCCAAAUGGCAAAAAGCAAAGUCAAACUCAAAUAGCCAAAGCCGUGCCAUUUAAUUGCAUAGGACACUGCUCAGAGGGAACAGCUGAAGAAUGCUACAACCACCUUGAAAGACACAGCAGUUGCUCUGCUGGACACACAGAUGUCUGACAAAGCGUUUUACCAUAUCAUCGAACUGCAAGUAAACCACAUCAGGUCUGUGAGAGAGACAAAACCCCCGUGCUUCCUAUGGUUCCCCCCCACAUCCCAGCUUCCAUCCCCCGGAACGCAUCCUCUCCAUUAUCCAGAGGAAGCCGUGGCCAUCACCCGGGUCUGCACUGCUUAAUGCAGAGCUCUCUCUGCGAGGACACCGCACCUUUCUUGCCUGCUGCUCCAACCCUGGAGGCACCAGAGCGUCCUCCUCCAUUGCGGCUGCCACCCGAGGAGCUCUUUGUAAGCACAGGAGGCCGCACAACAGCUGCAGGAGCGCCCCGUCCUGGAACUUCUCCUCUGCACAGGAGCACGACUCGCUGGAGAAGGUUGAUGGUUCUCCAGGGAACGUCUUCCUCCAUCGCCUCCUGUGUGCUGGAUCACGGGUGGCUGGUUAAGAUUUGUGUUUCCCUGGGUAGCAUCACCUGAUCCGUCUACAGCUCCUUCCAUGUGCUGGAUCACAGGUAGCUGGCUAAUGUUUCUAAGGUUUGUCUGACUAAUGUCUCCCCAUCCUCCUACAGCUCGUCUCUUGUACUUGAACACAGCUUCUCUCUUGUAUUCGAACAUGGCUCCUCUCUUGUACUUGAACAUGGCUGCCCGCAUAAUGUAUCUGUUUCUCAGGGUGGCAGCACCCCAUCCUCCUACAGCUGCUUCCAUUUGCUGCAUCAUGGAGGGCUGGCUAAGUAAGGUGGUAGUCUGGGUGCUGGUACCCCAUGGUCCUGCAGUUCCUAUCAGUUGCUGGAGCAUUAGGAGCUGGCUGAGGAGUAAGCUUAUCUGGUUUGUGGUAGCCCAUCUUCCUCCAUGUCCUGGACGGAUGCUUAAAGGAGGUGGAAGCUCUGCAGCGCUGACACAUGGCCCAGGAAACAUUACUGUCAUCAAAGCUGUGGUAAUGUGCAUCAACAGAAGUGGAAUAGACAAAGGAAAUGUGCUGUUACAGAGAGCCAGCUUUGGUUGAUGCCGUAUCUGUGAGUAUCCUGUACAGUGCUUUUGUAGCUGUGUUACCGAGAGCAGAAGUCUUUUUUCCUACCUAAACUCAUAAAUGAAUUUGAAUUUGAUUACAGACUGAAGGAGGAAUUUGUGGUUUUUUUUUAAACAGCAGUAUUAAAAAUACACAGAGUUUGUAUAAUAGCAAUCAUCACUGAGAUAGUGGGAUAAAUAGUUAGAAUAAAUAAUAAAUAAAUAGUAUAACAGUUGA